UACAGAGGGUGCAAGCGUUGUUCGGAAUUAUUGGGCGUAAAGGGCGCGUAGGCGGCGCGGUAAGUCGGGUGUGAAAUCUCGGAGCUUAACUCCGAAACUGCAUUCGAUACUGCCGUGCUUGAGGACUGGAGAGGAGACUGGAAUUUACGGUGUAGCGGUGAAAUGCGUAGAUAUCGUAAGGAACACCAGUGGCGAAGGCGGCUACCUGGACAAAUACUGACGCUGAGGCGCGAAAGCGUGGGGAUCAAACAGG
RNAcentral lists this ribosomal RNA (253 nucleotides) under uncultured bacterium. RNAcentral describes it as "partial 16S ribosomal RNA". It matches the Rfam family "Bacterial small subunit ribosomal RNA", at positions 524 to 776 of the family's 1533-position model. The record is from RNAcentral.